Molecule: ribosomal RNA, 253 nt
Filed under: uncultured bacterium
Lineage: Bacteria
Description: partial 16S ribosomal RNA
Rfam family: Bacterial small subunit ribosomal RNA
Source: RNAcentral
GACGAGCAUCACAAACGUUAUUCGGAAUUACUGGGCUUAAAGGGUGCGUAGGCGGUGUCGCAAGUCGGGAGUGAAAUCCCACGGCUCAACCGUGGAAUUGCUUUCGAUACUGCGGCGCUUGAGGAAGACAGAGGUGAGCGGAACUUCGGGUGGAGCGGUGAAAUGCGUUGAUAUCCGAAGGAACACCGGUGGCGAAGGCGGCUCACUGGGUCUUAUCUGACGCUGAGGCACGAAAGCUAGGGUAGCAAACGGG